This 20-nucleotide microRNA is filed under the name Fasciola hepatica (liver fluke). Its description in RNAcentral is "fhe-miR-71b". Its record names the gene fhe-miR-71b. Lineage: Eukaryota; Metazoa; Platyhelminthes; Trematoda; Plagiorchiida; Fasciolidae. The record is from miRBase by way of RNAcentral.
UGAAAGACUUGAGUAGUGAG